CAAUGUAAAAUGCUACAGUUGUUCCGAUACCGAUACCAGCGUCGGAAAUGUGUCCGAUCCUGCCCAAAAUUCGGGAUCGGGUAUCAGCGAGUAAGCCAGUCUAUGCACCGAUCCGAUACUAGGAUUUAUUAACCCAGAAACAAAUCAACAUGUUAAAACCGGAAAUCAAAUCUUCUUCGCCGCUCUAAAA
Long non-coding RNA from Sebastes umbrosus (honeycomb rockfish), 190 nucleotides. RefSeq lists it as uncharacterized. The transcript is spliced from 3 exons. The record is from RefSeq and is a predicted model, not a curated record. NCBI's taxonomy places the organism in Eukaryota, Metazoa, Chordata, Actinopteri, Perciformes, Sebastidae.